AAAGGUAGCAUAAUCAUUAGGGGUUUAAUUGGAACCUAGUAUGAAGGGUCGGACAAAGGAAAAGCUGUCUUUAUAAGUUUGGUUGAAGUUUACUUUUAAGUGAAAAGGCUUGAAUAAAUCAAAGGGACGAUAAGACCCUAUAAAGCUUUAUAGAUAAUCUAGAUUUAGCUAAUCUAAAAAUAAAAGCAAGAUAAAGUUAUUCUAUUUCGUUGGGGUGAUGUGAGUAUAAUUAUUGUUAACUGCUUAGAUUUUAUACUUAUGAAAAAGAAUUGAAAAUAAAUGAUCCUAUUUAAAGAUUAAAAGACUAAGUUACUUUAGGGAUAACAGCGUUAUUUCUUUUGAGAGUUCAUAUCGAAAAAGAAGAUUGCGACCUCGAUGUUGAAUUAAAAUAUCUAUAUAAUGCAGCCGUUAUAAAAGAGGGUCUGUUCGACCUUUGAAUU
This 440-nucleotide ribosomal RNA is filed under the name Chlorodiella barbata. RNAcentral describes it as "partial 16S ribosomal RNA". It matches the Rfam family "Bacterial large subunit ribosomal RNA", at positions 1952 to 2594 of the family's 2925-position model. Lineage: Eukaryota; Metazoa; Arthropoda; Malacostraca; Decapoda; Xanthidae. The record is from RNAcentral.